This 281-nucleotide ribosomal RNA is filed under the name uncultured bacterium. RNAcentral's name for it is "partial 16S ribosomal RNA". It matches the Rfam family "Bacterial small subunit ribosomal RNA", at positions 524 to 796 of the family's 1533-position model. The record is from RNAcentral.
UACGAAGGGGGCUAGCGUUGUUCGGAAUCACUGGGCGUAAAGCGCGCGUAGGCGGACUUUUAAGUCAGGGGUGAAAUCCCGGGGCUCAACCUCGGAACUGCCUUUGAUACUGGAAGUCUUGAGUUCGAGAGAGGUGAGUGGAAUACCGAGUGAUAGAGGUGAAAUUCGUAAGAUAUUCGGUGGAACACCAAGUGGCGAAAGGCGGCUCACUGGCUCGAUACUGACGCUGAGGUGCGAAAAGCGUGGGGGAGCAAAACAGGAUUAGAUACCCCGGGUAGUCC